This 1237-nucleotide long non-coding RNA is filed under the name Cricetulus griseus (Chinese hamster). Its description in RNAcentral is "lncRNA (ENSCGRG00015034940.1)". The record is from RNAcentral. Lineage: Eukaryota; Metazoa; Chordata; Mammalia; Rodentia; Cricetidae.
CUUCCCUCCCUUUCUUCCUCCCUCCCUCCCUACCUACCUUUCCGUGUCCUUUCCUUCCUGGGAGAGGCUUCAGAGCAAACAUUAAGAUAUUUUUCCCAGUGCAUCUCCAACAGUCUACUAUUAGAAGAUGAAAUACAGACCCAGAGAAUUCAGAUGUCACCUUCCCCAAAGUGACUUGCGUGGGGGAAAGAUGCUCUGGAAAGCUAGACAAGUGUCCUCCUGAUUUAACAUCAUUCACCUUUCCAUAAUGGGCUCUGCACAGCACAGGGGCUGGUUCAGACAGGAAGUAUUGGACUAGCACUUAGAGGACAACAGAAGAGAUGCAGUCCAAGUAGUUUUCUAGGUUCUUCAGAGCACGGAAAAAGGCUGUGGCCUCCCUGGGAAAGAGGUUCUCUCAUGGAGAAAAACAAAAUCAUCUUGGAUCUCCUCAGGCAACUAAAUGGUGUCUAUCCAGCAAACACAUCCACACAGGCCAGUGUUGAGAUGGCUAUAUCAUACAGGCAAGUCAAUCAGUCCUGUGAUGGUUCCAAGGCAGCCAAAGUAUGUAGGAACGAGGUGGCCAUCCUUCAUCUUGUGGGUAGAACAAGUUCUCCUGGUAGAGAGCCCAAGGGCUUGGCUGAGGAGAGAAGAGCUGGAAGGAUCUUGAGAAGCAUUGGCUAUGUCUGCUUUCCCGCUUGUUUUGAGGGAUCUGAACAGUAUCUGCCAAGACUUACCAGAUCUGAACCCUCAAGCAAUGGGAGUCAGGAAAAGGGGGAGUGAGAAGAGAGGUACUUCUGCAAGGCAGUGGCUCUGUUCCCUGAGAUAAAAGGCCUUCUGCCAUCUCUCCACAAGUCUUCCAAUCCCUACAAUAGAAGGUCUUCCCCAGUUUGGCCAAGGAAAUUUGGCAAACCCUCCAAGGUUUGGUGAGACAAGGUUGAGUGCUUCCCUGGAUCGUCCCACCACUAGCAUGAUGGACCAUGAGGCUUGCCUGAUGCUGGCCACAACCCCACGUGUGCGUUCAGUGACACAUUGGGCUAUCCCACGCCUUCCCUGAAGUUUGCCCACACCUUCCACCAUGUUGCCGCUUGUCCACUAUGGCGCUGCUUGUCCACUAUGGCGCUGCUUAAUGAUCUCUGGUGCUGAACUCAAAAAGCAUCCCUCCCUCCCUCCCCCUUCCUCUCCCUUUCCUUCUGGCAGCUACCAAACAUACAGUUUGGCUGCUCUGUUGUUUGUCUCCCCAACUCUAAUAAAAUUGUCC